This 253-nucleotide ribosomal RNA is filed under the name uncultured bacterium. RNAcentral's name for it is "partial 16S ribosomal RNA". It matches the Rfam family "Bacterial small subunit ribosomal RNA", at positions 524 to 776 of the family's 1533-position model. The record is from RNAcentral.
UACGAAGGGGGCUAGCGUUGUUCGGAAUCACUGGGCGUAAAGCGCACGUAGGCGGAUUUGUCAGUCAGGGGUGAAAUCCCGGGGCUCAACCUCGGAACUGCCUUUGAUACAGCAAAUCUCGAGUCCGGAAGAGGUGGGUGGGAUUGCUAGUGUAGAGGUGAAAUUCGUAGAUAUUAGGAAGAAGACCAGUGGCGAAGGCGGCGCACUGGUCCGGUACUGACGCUGAGUGGCGAAAGCGUGGGGAGCAAACAGG